AUCGAGACUAGAGUCACACCUGAACAUGUUGGGUUGUCCUGGUGUGCUAUAGUUCUCGGACAUUAACAUCUGAUCCAUAUUCACUGGCUGUGAUGUCUCAUGUCUCAGCCAGCCACCGAAUCAGCAACACUU
Molecule: small nucleolar RNA, 132 nt
Filed under: Calidris pugnax (ruff)
Lineage: Eukaryota; Metazoa; Chordata; Aves; Charadriiformes; Scolopacidae
Description: Small nucleolar RNA SNORA3/SNORA45 family (ENSCPUG00000017503.1)
Rfam family: Small nucleolar RNA SNORA3/SNORA45 family
About the family: The members of this family belong to the H/ACA class of snoRNAs which are thought to guide the sites of modification of uridines to pseudouridines. This family includes mouse snoMBI-28 and human homologues ACA3 (SNORA3) and ACA3-2 (SNORA45). Both ACA3 and ACA3-2 share the same host gene.
Source: RNAcentral